This 301-nucleotide ribosomal RNA is filed under the name uncultured bacterium. RNAcentral describes it as "partial 16S ribosomal RNA". It matches the Rfam family "Bacterial small subunit ribosomal RNA", at positions 509 to 808 of the family's 1533-position model. The record is from RNAcentral.
CAGUCGCCGCGGUAAUACGUAGGGUGCAAGCGUUAAUCGGAAUUACUGGGCGUAAAGCGUGCGCAGGCGGUUAUAUAAGACAGAUGUGAAAUCCCCGGGCUCAACCUGGGAACUGCAUUUGUGACUGUAUAGCUAGAGUACGGCAGAGGGGGAUGGAAUUCCGCGUGUAGCAGUGAAAUGCGUAGAUAUGCGGAGGAACACCGAUGGCGAAGGCAAUCCCCUGGGCCUGUACUGACGCUCAUGCACGAAAGCGUGGGGAGCAAACAGGAUUAGAUACCCCGUAGUCCCUGUCUCUUAUACA